GACUCUGAGCAGUGGAUCACUGGGCUCAUGCAUUGAUGAAGAAUGUAGCUAGCUGUGAGAACUAAUGUGAAUUGCAGGACAUAUUGAUCAACAAUACUUAGAAUGCACUUUGCCGCACCGGGUUACACCCGGGGCUACACCUGUCUGAGGGUUC
Ribosomal RNA from Protopterus annectens (West African lungfish), 154 nucleotides. RefSeq annotates it as 5.8S ribosomal RNA. The transcript has a single exon. NCBI's taxonomy places the organism in Eukaryota, Metazoa, Chordata, Ceratodontiformes, Protopteridae. The record is from RefSeq and is a predicted model, not a curated record.